UACAGAGGGUGCGAGCGUUAAUCGGAAUUACUGGGCGUAAAGCGCACGUAGUCGGCUUUGCAAGUCGGGUGUGAAAUCCCCGGGCUCAACCUGGGAACUGCAUCCGAGACUGCAUUGCUAGAGUAUGGGAGAGGGAAGCGGAAUUUCUGGUGUAGCAGUGAAAUGCGUAGAUAUCAGAAGGAACAGCAGUGGCGAAGGCGGCUUCCUGGACCAAUACUGACGAUCAGGUGCGAAAGCGUGGGGAGCAAACAGG
Molecule: ribosomal RNA, 253 nt
Filed under: uncultured bacterium
Lineage: Bacteria
Description: partial 16S ribosomal RNA
Rfam family: Bacterial small subunit ribosomal RNA
Source: RNAcentral